Phasianus colchicus (ring-necked pheasant) is the source of this 388-nucleotide non-coding RNA. The record is from RefSeq and is a predicted model, not a curated record. NCBI's taxonomy places the organism in Eukaryota, Metazoa, Chordata, Aves, Galliformes, Phasianidae.
CAGCUGGACCCUGCUCCUUGUGUUACGAAGGCAUCUUCUGCAAAUCUUCUGCAAAGAGUCUGCAUUGCUUGAUUUAUACAGUCAUUUGGAGGGCCUCCACACUUCUUUCUGUCCUCCCAGGAUGAGGUGUGGACAAUCCAUUCUCCCAGUGGGAAACUGAAGAUAAACAUCUUCUGCACCCAGAGAUUGCUAAAUUUCUAUACAAAUAUGUGACAGACUACACAUUACUGAUGCUACAGUAAAAGCUUGAAGAAUUAGAACCUCCCAUCUCUUGAUUUUUAGGACUGAAGAAUGAAAACCUGAAGUAAGGAGAAUAAUCGGAUUCUUUCAGUUCCUGCCUCUAUCAGUUGCUAUACUGUGCCUCUUCUCUCCCUGCAGUGAGACACAG